Molecule: RNA transcript, 4004 nt
Organism: Daucus carota subsp. sativus
Lineage: Eukaryota; Viridiplantae; Streptophyta; Magnoliopsida; Apiales; Apiaceae
Gene name: DExH-box ATP-dependent RNA helicase DExH15 chloroplastic
Exons: 18
Source: RefSeq, a predicted model, not a curated record
AUCAACGGCCAAUUAAAACAGGAAUUUAAGCCUGAACAAGAAUGGAUACACGAUACAGCAUAACACCUACACGCAAUUAUCUUCAAUCCCUCCCACUCCCGCCAUGAGCGUCCCAUUCUCUCUCCUCUCUCCUCAACCGCUCCCUUUAUCUCUCGUCUCUCUCCCACUCUCAUCUCUCUACACUCACCGCAUCUACCAAACCCUACCAUUUCGCAAGCUCCGCGCUCAAACGCCUCUCUCAAUUCGAACCUUCUACAAGUUCCCAAAGCCUCUCUUCGCCCUCGACUCUCAGCUCUCCGAUGCCGACGACGACGAUGACGAAGCUGCGGAAGAGUACGACGAUAUCUCCGGAGAAGUCUCCGAAGGCAUUGAAGAAGAAGAUGAUGAUAGUGAGGAUGAAACCGAAGAUUCAGCGGACGGAGAUGGUGACGUCAUUGCGCCGGAGUUGAAGUCGACGUAUGAGGAGUUUAAGUGGCAAAGAGUUGAGAGACUUUGUAAUGAAGUUAAAUUGUUCGGUGAAGAGAUUAUUAAUAUCGAAGAGCUUAAGUCGAUUUACGAUUUUCGUAUCGAUAAGUUUCAGAGAUUGUCGAUUGAAGCAUUUUUAAAAGGUUCGUCGGUUGUGGUUUCAGCACCUACAAGCAGCGGAAAGACCUUGAUUGCAGAAGCUGCAGCAGUUGCUACUGUAGCUAGAGGAAGAAGGUUGUUCUACACCACACCUCUCAAGGCAUUGUCAAAUCAGAAAUUCAGAGAGUUUCGUGAGACAUUUGGCGAUGGUAAUGUCGGUCUUUUGACAGGGGACUCUGCAAUUAAUAAAGAUGCUCGGGUCCUAAUCAUGACUACUGAAAUUCUUCGAAACAUGUUAUAUCAGAGUGUUGGAAUGGUUUCAUCACAAGGUGGUCUUUUUCAAGUUGAUGUUAUUGUUUUGGAUGAAGUGCAUUAUCUAAGUGAUAUAUCUCGUGGUACUGUUUGGGAAGAGAUAGUUAUCUAUUGUCCAAAAGAAGUUCAACUUAUAUGUUUGUCAGCAACCGUGGCAAACCCAGACGAACUAGCUGGCUGGAUAGGUCAGAUUCAUGGUAAAACUGAGUUGGUGAUGUCAUCAAGGCGUCCUGUACCACUAAAUUGGCACUUCUCCACAAAGACAGCUUUGUCACCCCUACUUGAUGAUAAAGGAACGACAAUGAAUAGGAAGCUGUCGGUUAACUAUCUGCAACGAAAUUCUGCGAGAGAGAAAUCAUACGAUGACGAGGGAUCUAGAAGAAGGAAAUCUAGAAAACAGCGUGAGAAUGACAUGUCCCCUCCUUCAAGGAAUGACAUAAACACCUUCCGCCGCUCCCAAGUACCUCAAGUUAUAGAUACAUUGUGGCAACUUGAGACGAGGGAUAUGCUGCCGGCAGUUUGGUUUAUCUUUAGCAGGAAAGGAUGUGACGCAGCUGUUCAGUAUAUUGAAGACUGUCUUCUGGAUGAAUAUGAGAAGGCUGAAGUUGAACUGGCCUUAAAGAGAUUACGUGCAAAAUAUCCCGAUGCUGUGCGGGAGUCUUCUGUUAAGGGUCUUCUCCGAGGAGUUGCUGCUCAUCAUGCUGGUUGUCUACCACUUUGGAAAUCUUUUGUGGAAGAGCUGUUUCAGCGUGGACUUGUUAAGGUUGUUUUUGCUACCGAAACUCUUGCUGCUGGAAUCAAUAUGCCAGCGCGAACAGCAGUUGUUUCAUCUCUUAGCAAGAGAAUUGAAAGUGGAAGAACACAAUUAACUGCAAAUGAACUAUUUCAAAUGGCUGGUCGUGCUGGACGUAGAGGCAUUGACAAAAGGGGUCAUGUUGUUCUUGUUCAGACUGUCUUUGAAGGGGCUGAAGAGUGCUGUGAGGUUCUCUUUUCUGGACUCAAACCUCUCGUGUCACAGUUUAAAGCAUCAUAUGGGAUGGUUCUGAAUCUUCUUGCUGGUGCAAAAAUUACUCGCGGACUAAGUGAAGCAGAUGAAUUAAGCAUUUCCCGAGCCGGACGAACUAUGGAAGAAGCCAGAAAGUUAGUUGAACAGAGUUUUGGAAAUUAUGUAGGAAGCAAUGUUAUGAUUGCUGCAAAGGAGGAGCUCAAAAAUAUUGAAAGUGAGAUUGAAAUGCUUCAUUUAGAAAUUAGUGAUGAAGCUAUUGAUCGCAAGAGCAAAAAGGCAUUAACGACAAUGGCACACAAGGAGAUUACAGAUCUGCAGCAUGAACUAAAGGCAGAAAAAUGUGUACGGACGGAGUUGCGUAGAAAGAUGGAAUUAGAGAGGGUGUCUGCUCUGAGGCCUCUACUAAAGGAGUUGGAAGGUGGAACUUUGCCUUUUAUGUGUUUGCAGUACAGUGAUUCUGGUGGAGUUCAACACCUGGUCGCUGCUGUUCUUUUGGGAAGCACUGAUAUUUUGGAUGGAAUAAAACUGAAAAAGAUGGUCCAUGUACUCGAUCUUGAUGGAGAAAAUAUUCUUAUCAACUCUACUGAAGGGCAAAAUUCUGAACCGUAUUAUUAUGUGGCUCUUGGUUCGGAUAACUCUUGGUAUCUCUUUACAGAGAAGUGGAUUAAGUCGGUCUACAAAACAGGAUUUCCCAAUGUUGCGUUGGCUCAAGGUGAUGCAUUGCCAAGAGAUAUUAUGAUGACCCUACUCGAGAAGGAGGAUACUCAGUGGCAGAAACUAGUAGAAUCUGAUCUUGGGGACCUUUGGUGUGGCGAAGGAUCUUUGGAGACGUGGUCGUGGAGUCUUAAUGUGCCAGUUUUGAGUAGUCUUUCUGAAAAAGACGAGGUUUUACAUUAUUCACAAGCAUACCAUGAUGCAGUUGAAUGUUACAAGGAACAAAGGAAUAAAGUUUCCCGAUUGAAGAAAAAGAUAACACGCACAGAAGGAUUUAGAGAAUAUAAGAAGAUUCUAGACAUGACAAAGUUUACCAUGGAAAAGAUUCGGCGCUUGAAGUCUAGGUCGAAGCGCUUGAUUAAUCGUAUAGAACAGAUCGAACCAUCCGGAUGGAAAGAGUUUCAGCAGGUCAGCAGUGUCAUCCACGAAAUUAGGGCACUGGACAUUAAUACACAUGUGAUAUUUCCGCUUGGUGAAACUGCAGCUGCAAUUCGAGGAGAAAAUGAGCUCUGGCUUGCAGUGGUCUUAAGAAAUAAAAUAAUGUUAAACCUGAAACCUGCGCAGCUAGCUGCUGUUUGUGGAAGCCUAGUUUCUGAAGGGAUUAAAGUUCGACCUUGGAAAAACAACAGCUAUAUCUAUGAACCUUCAACCGCUGUUCUGAAGGUUGUCACUGUUCUGGAAGAGCAAAGAAGUUCUAUUGUACAACUACAAGAAAAGCACGGCGUGAAGAUUCCCUGCUGUUUGGAUAGCCAAUUUACCGGUAUGGUUGAAGCUUGGGCUUCUGGUUUGACUUGGAGAGAGAUAAUGAUGGACUGUGCUAUGGAUGAAGGUGAUUUAGCUCGCCUUUUGCGAAGGACAAUCGACUUACUAGUUCAGAUCCCUAAAUUGCCUGAUGUCGACCCCCUGCUGCAAAGAAAUGCAGUAGCAGCAUCCAGUGUCAUGGACCGCCCGCCAAUGAGUGAAUUGGCGGGAUAAAGCUAUUUUGCUAUAAAGAAGUGUUGCCUUGAUACUUGGAUAGAUACCUUAUAUUACAAUUCAUCUGGUGUACCAUCAAGAAAAUCUUUUUGUUGAUUUUGUUAAGGAAAAUAUUUGGAAUGCUCAAUCAUCAGCGAGACGGUAAACAGUUAUUGCUGCUGCUCGAUCCUACCCGCUAGCAUCUUGCUUGGCGUGAGUGGUGCAACCAAGCUUGUCAAGGAUUUAUUGAAUCAAAGCAAGCAGCGAGGAUUGGAUCCACAUGAAACAAAGUGGGAGCAGCUGGUGACUGGAAAUAGAAUUUUUGAUAUAGGAAAUGUAGUUAGAAAGAGCAUAAAACAAGAAAUGGUAGAGGGUUGCAACUGAAUGCAACACUUAUAUUCAAUUGUUUAUACUUAUGUUAUUUUUUUUGACAAAUGCAAAAAGAUUUCAUUAA